RNAcentral lists this ribosomal RNA (253 nucleotides) under uncultured bacterium. RNAcentral describes it as "partial 16S ribosomal RNA". It matches the Rfam family "Bacterial small subunit ribosomal RNA", at positions 524 to 776 of the family's 1533-position model. The record is from RNAcentral.
UACAGAGGGUGCGAGCGUUGUUCGGAAUCACUGGGCGUAAAGCGCACGUAGGCGGAUUGCUAAGUCAGGGGUGAAAUCCUGGAGCUCAACUCCAGAACUGCCUUUGAUACUGGCGAUCUUGAGUCCGGGAGAGGUGAGUGGAACUGCGAGUGUAGAGGUGAAAUUCGUAGAUAUUCGCAAGAACACCAGUGGCGAAGGCGGCUCACUGGGCCGUUCCUGACGCUGAGACGCGAAAGCUAGGGGAGCGAACAGG